RNAcentral lists this long non-coding RNA (3202 nucleotides) under Helianthus annuus (common sunflower). RNAcentral's name for it is "hypothetical non coding rna". The record is from RNAcentral. Lineage: Eukaryota; Viridiplantae; Streptophyta; Magnoliopsida; Asterales; Asteraceae.
UCAUCAUCAUCAUCAGCUUUCAUCAGCUUCCUUUGAAGUUUAUCUUCAGCAUCUCUCAAGAACUUGAACUUCGGAGGCGGUGAAGCCCAUAUCCUGUUAAACUCAGAAUCACUUGUUGACUGGAACAGAGGACUAAAAGCUCUAAAUGAAUAAUUUACAGGAGUUAUAGGUGGAGUCAAGAAUGGUGGUGAAGCAAGUGGAGUAAAAAAUACUGAACCCACAUCACUCAAACUCCUUCUACUGACAUCAUCUGAUUCCAAAUCUUCUUUUGUUUCCUCUUUAAUGGUGAAGAGAAAUCUUGGAGGCACAGAGAGGUUCAUGUUCUGCAGCCUCAAAACUUGUUGUUCUUGACCAAAUGGUCUGACCCAAAUUGGUUCAUGAACUUGGGUGUCUGUGGUUAGACCUGUGGUGAUCAAAGAUGAGGGCUUUUUACAACAAAACAUGUAGAAAGAUUCUGUUACUGGACUAGUGUAACUUUCUUGAAUAAUGUCUCUGUUAUUUGCCUUUUUCUUCCACCAUAUGAGAUAAUAAAGCUCAGCAACAAGAGCUAGUAAAAGACACCCAAACACAAGGCUCAAACCAAGUCCUACACUACUCGAACCUCUCAUCUUCUGUUUCACUCACAUCACAAGAAUUGAGCUAGUAAAGUUACAAGUUAUGGAAUUAUGAACCUCACAGGACUUUCGUCGAACAGUUGGUGUGCAAUGGUGCAAACCCAAUAGCAUUACUGUUUGGUUACAUGAUGUUUACCCAAAAGAAAGAAAGAAAGAAACUGUACCUUGGUGAUUACUUUUGUAUGAUCAAACGUGAUUGAACUCAUGCACCUCCAUCUUUUCGCUGUAUACCCAGUAAAUCAAAAUGAGUAAAUUAGUAUUUUUUUGGUCUCCCAAAAUUGACUUUGUGUUGUCCACAGAAGAGAGAAGUAAGCGGCAAAUCCAAAAGGGUAAGUAAUUUAUGGUGUGAGACUCUUCCCUAGAAAAAUGGCACCCCAAACCACACGGCAUUCAUAAUUACCCCUAGAUUCUAGAACAAUUUAUCAAGGCAUUUUUGUACAUCAAAUGUGUUUUGUAGUAAGAGGAGGGUAGUUCUAAAAGAAUAUUGGAAAUUUAUCUGAUUUACUGAUAAGGUUGGAGGGUGUGGGAUAAAGCUCCUAGGGGCUUUAUCAUGUCGCGUCAGAUUUACGUUAGUCAGGGGACUUUGUCACGCCUUCUCUUAACUUGCAGGUGUGAGAUAAAGCCCCUAUUAAACAAAAAAAAAAAAAAAAAAGAUUUCAUUGGUUGAAAAGAUGUGGGCCCCACCUGCACCCCCCUUAUCUUCCGUUAACAUGUUGGCGAAGGCACCAUGACGCCCCCUUUUAAUUGCCUGGGUAUGGGCGGUGGCGCCCCUCCGGCGCUAUCAGAGGUGAGGUGACAGGGGUGGCGCCCUCCACACCCUCCGGCCUAAAUACGAGAUGAAACUUCAGAAAAUAAACUUGGCUUUCUCUUGGAAUCGUGUGUACGAAUCACUUUCAAAUCAAACUAUUUGUCGGUACACACAAAUGUUUAAUCGAACAAGACCAAAAGGUUUUACAAGAACGGACUUGAUUUUUGAAUGAGAGGAUAGACAUACCCCCUGAUCUUUCCGACCAGAGAUGUCGACCAAAAAAAAACUGCCAGUUCUUUUUUUUUUCUUUUUUUUUUUGUGAUACUGUGCAUCACAUACCAUGCCUAUUCGUUUCUUGGUAUUAUUUUGGGUGAUCCAUCUUCCAUUUGGAUAAUCCAAUUGGAUCCCUAUCUCCUAAUCGAUCAACUCAUAGCAAUUGGAUGAUCCAUUUGAUAUUGGCCCAAUCAUAACUAAACCAUCUCAAUUAAUGAGAAGCCCAAUUAAAUGUAUAGCAAAUAAGCCCAAGAUCAUAUAUAAAUUAUGUAUAUAACUAGGUGUUGCUUCGCCCGCAUUGUCGGGCGAUGGCCGAAUAAUUAUUAACCAAUUAAAAAAAACAGUACCAUAGUUUUGCUAGAAAGAAAAAGUAAAAAGAAUGUUAGGUAGCUCCUUAACACAAUUUUUAGUUGUGGGCAAAGUCAUAUUUUUAUUUGGGGGAAAAUUAAUUUUUUUCCCGAUGGUAAAAUCCUAAUUUUUAGCUAGGGGAAAACCAUAUUUUUAUUUUGCACUGGGGGCAAAAAACAUAAUUUUGAAUUGAGGGUGAUAUCGUAAUUUUGAACAAAGGGGAAAAUCGUAAAUUUUAGCUGGGGGCAAAAGCAUAAUUUUAUUUUGAACUGGGGCAAAGAUGUAAUUUUAAACUGGGGAAAAAACUGUGAUUUAAAAGUGGAUAUAAAAUAAUAAACUGGUGUAAAAUCGUAAUUUUGAGCCGGGGGAAAAACAAAAUUUUAUUUUGAACUGGGGCGAAAACGUAAUUUUGGCUGAGGGUAAAAGCGUAAUUUUUUUACCGAGGGCGAAAUCGUAUUUUCGGUUUAGCUGGGUGUAAAGUCAGUUUUUUUUUUUAACUGGGGAAAAUCAUAAUUUUGAACCGAGCGUAAAAUCGUAAUUUUAAGGUAGGGGAAAACCAUAAUUUUAUUUUUAUCUGGGGGCAAAAAAGUAAUUUUAAACUGAUGGUGAAAUCGUAAUUUUGAACCGAGGGAAAAAUCGUAAUAUUGAGCUGGGGGCAAAACUAUAAUUUUAUUUUGAACAUUGCGGCGAAGACGUAAUUUUAAACUGGGGGCAAAACCGUAAUUUUAAAGCGGGUAUAAAAUAAAAAGCUGUGGGUAAAAUCGUAAAUUUGGAACCAAUGGCAAAAUAGUAAUUUUAGCUGCUGGCAAAAGGGUUAUUAUAUUUUUUAGUUGGGAGAAAAGCGUAAUUUUAAAUUGGGGGCAAAACCGUAAUUUUAAAGUGGAUAUAAAAUAAUAAAAUGGUUGGUCCAAUAAAGGAGGGGCGGCCGCCCAUUUCGACCAAUGGCAGGGAAACACUAUUCCCUGUCAUUGUCUUUGUAUAUGUUGAAUAAUUUAUAUAUUUUAUAAAACUGAAACCGAUAGAUAAUCUAAAUCUUAUUAAUACGAUACGAGCAUGCACUCCCGCAUCUCCUAACUCAUUAUAAUAAUCAAUAGAGAAAAUGUAUGGAUAGUCUAUGUGCUAUAGCCCCAACUUUUGCAAUUUCGUUCCUGGGUAGUCCCUGGCACGGAUGAGAGUUAGUUUUUGGUGUUAAGUGGAUGUGAAAUUACUAAAAUGCCCU